This 253-nucleotide ribosomal RNA is filed under the name uncultured bacterium. Its description in RNAcentral is "partial 16S ribosomal RNA". It matches the Rfam family "Bacterial small subunit ribosomal RNA", at positions 524 to 776 of the family's 1533-position model. The record is from RNAcentral.
UACGUAGGUGGCAAGCGUUGUCCGGAUUUAUUGGGCGUAAAGGGCGCGCAGGCGGUUCGUUAGGUCCGAGGUGAAAUCUCCCGGCUCAACUGGGAGGGGUCUUCGGAUACCGGCGGGCUUGAGGUGAGCAGAGGUGAGCGGAAUUCUGGAUGUAGUGGUGAAAUGCGUAGAUAUCCAGAGGAACACCAGUGGCGAAGGCGGCUCACUGGGCUCCACCUGACGCUGAGGCGCGAAAGCGUGGGGAGCGAACCGG